CCCUGACUGUGUCUUCAUGUUGCUGAUGAACUCAUGGUUCACCCUGACUGUGUCUUCAUGUUGCUGAUGAACUCAUGGUUCACCCUGACUGUGUCUUCAUGUUGCUGAUGAACUCAUAGUUCACCCUGAAACACCCUGACUGUGUCUUCAUGUUGCUGAUUGAACUCAUGGUUCACCCUGACUGUGUCUUCAUGUUGCUGAUGAACUCAUGGUUCACCCUGAAUGAAAGAAGUGACAGGGGUUUCCUGUUUCCCUACAUGAUUGUCUGAGCUGGCAGAAAAAAAGGUAUGUGUUUACGUGUGAGAGGAGAGAAGGAGAGGAGAGAAGGAGCUCAGUGAAGGAAAGGUCAAAGAGAGGAGAGAAGGAAAGGAGAGGAGAGAAGGAGCUCAGUGAAGGAAAGGUCAAAGAGAGGAGAGAAGGAAAGGAGAGGAGAGAAGGAGCUCAGUGAAGGAAAGGUCAAAGAGAGGAGAGAAGGAAAGGAGAGGAGAGAAGGAGCUCAGUGAAGGAAAGGUCAAAGAGAGGAGAGAAGGAGAGGAGAGAAGGAGCUCAGUGAAGGAAAGGUCAAAGAGAGGAGAGAAGGAGAGGAGAGAAGGAGCUCAGUGAAGGAAAGGUCAAAGAGAGGAGAGAAGGAGAGGAAAGAAGGAGCUCAGUGAAGGAAAGGUAAACCGGAAGGAGGAAUGGAG
Oncorhynchus tshawytscha (Chinook salmon) is the source of this 683-nucleotide long non-coding RNA. The record is from Ensembl. Lineage: Eukaryota; Metazoa; Chordata; Actinopteri; Salmoniformes; Salmonidae.